UUUUGGCCAGGUGCGGUGGCUCACGUCUAUAAUACCAGCACUUUGGAAGGAAGAGGCCGGCAGAUCGCUUGAGCUCAGGAGUUCAAGACCAGCCUGACCAACAUGGCGAAACCCCACCUCUACUAAAAAUACAAAAAUUAGCCAGGUGUGGUGGUGUGUGCCUAUAAUCCCAGCUACUCGGGAGGCUGAGGAAGGAGAAUCGCUUGAACCCAGGAGGCAGAGGUUGCAGUGAGCCGAGAUGGUGCCACUGCACUCCAGCUUGGGUGACAGAGCGAGACUCUGUCUCAAAAAAUAAAAAAUAAGCUAGUGGACUUUGAGCAAAGCAGACUGUUCGCCACAAUGUGGGUGGGCCUCACCUGAUCAGUUGAAGUACUGAAUAGAACAAACCUCGCUCUACCCUGAGCAAGAAGAAAUUCUGCCAGCAGACCACUUUUGGACUCAAACUGCAAAUCCUGAAUCUCCAGCUUGCCAGCCUACUCCACCUGAUUUAGCAGAUUUUGGACCCACCAAGCCUCCAUAAUUCUAGACAGAAGACAAGGCACAGACACAGAGGAGAAGCCGUAUGAAGAUGAAGGAAAUGACUGGAGUUAUGAGCCAAGGAACGCCUGGAACCACCAGAAAUUGGAAGAGGGAAGAAAAAAAUCUCCCCUAGAGAAUCUUGUUCAGAGGGAGCGUAGCCCUGCCAUCACCUUGAUUCCAGACUCUUGUCGUACAGAACUGUUAGAGAAUAAAUUUCUGUUGUUUUAAACCACCAAAUUUGUGGGAAUUUUUACAGGAGCCCCAAAAAACUAAUACAUGUACCUCUCUGCAUAGUUGGUAGAUCAAGCCAACAAAAAGUAAUAAAAACAUACAAAAGAUUUCAAGAGCAUAGUCAAGCAGUUUUUAUCUAAUGAGCAUAUAAGCAAUCCUGCACUCAAUUAUUUGUUAAAAUAUCCCUUAUUUUUCAUUGCACAUGAAUCAUCUAUAUAAAUUUGAGUCAUAUUGUAACAAAAUAAUUUGUCAAUAUUGUAGAGCUGCAAUCAUUUUUAUCCUCUAAAAGAGCAGGUGCAUUGCCCAAGUAUGAGGAAAAUUGGCUUAGAACUUUCUGACCUUUUAGUAUCCUAGAGACAGCUUGUCUUUUUUUCUGCUUAGGAGAGAAUAUAGUUCACUAAUUAGCCACAGAUAAACAACUACAACCAGGCUCUUAAUUUUAUCUAUUUUGGAUGACUCUUACAGGAAUUAAAAAUUUCAAGGACACACAGAUUCCAUUGCCAUUUCAAAGUAAGCAUUCAUGUUACAGUCAUUGUCAUCAUUACUGGCAGGAUAAUUACUCUUAAAGUAACAGUCCCC
This 1329-nucleotide long non-coding RNA is filed under the name Homo sapiens (human). Its description in RNAcentral is "HSALNT0393512". The record is from RNAcentral. Lineage: Eukaryota; Metazoa; Chordata; Mammalia; Primates; Hominidae.